AGCCAAGAAGCACGCUCUUCUUAAACCCUCACCAUUUACUCAAGCCGUCGACAAUCAUCGCACUAUGGAAACCCUCAUCGACGAACAAAAAUCCAAGAAGCACAUUGAUCAGUUUGGGCUCAAGUUCUCUUUGGCAAAACCCUCAUCACACUACCAAGCACUCUCGCGCACUACCCAGGAAGACUCUCGCGCACUACCCAAGAAGCACGUACAUCGAUCUUCUCAAACCCUCACCGAUCAUCACACUACCCAUGUUGUGAUGAUCGUUGCAUUAUCGAAACCCUCAUCGACGAACAUUGAUCAACUUGUGCUCAAGCCCUCUUUGACGAACGACCAAAGUUAGUGAAAGCUAUUGAUGUGCUAUUGCGGAGGAACACGAAGAUAUAUGGUGGUGUACUUGGUGAAGCCAUUGUUGUAUGGAUCUAUUUUGACUGGUUUAUCGGAAAAACUAUAAAGAAUCAUUUAAGAGGCUUAGCUUGAAGAGAAGGUGAUGGACAAUAAAAAGAAAAUGAGGAUUUUUGCAUGACUUCUACUAGAAAGAAAAAAAUCAGAAGAUUGUAGAAGUAGGUGGACUUACGUCCUUGAUUAGACAGCUUAAGAACUCACAUGAUGAAACCACACAGAGAGUUGCAGCAAGCACCAUAG
Cajanus cajan (pigeon pea) is the source of this 645-nucleotide long non-coding RNA. RefSeq lists it as uncharacterized. The record is from RefSeq and is a predicted model, not a curated record. NCBI's taxonomy places the organism in Eukaryota, Viridiplantae, Streptophyta, Magnoliopsida, Fabales, Fabaceae.